GCGUGGCGUGCUCUCUCGACCUCUCCAGAAAAUGCCUUUGCCCCUUCUUCUACCUCCUCCACCCCCUCCUUCUCCGCACUGCUUGCUCAGUUGCUCCUACCCCUGUCUUCCGCACACACUGCCUGCGAGCGAGCAUCAGCGAGAACCUCCAACGAAGGGAGUCCCCAGCGCGCAUCCGUCGCCCGUUCAGGUAUGGAAUCUUCAAACGCCACACAUGCUUAAUUUUAUGCCAUGCCUGAUUAAUUCGAGGGACGCACCGUAGCUCGUCGAUCAGAGAUUCAGAGUGUCAGAUAGCCCCCGAGUGCUCGCUGUUUUUUUUUUGUCGCACAAUGCAGGAUGGGUCGUGGCGGUCAGGUCUUAGCAUUUACAGUACCUUUUGCGUAGGAUGGAGAAACUAAGCAAGGCACAAUUCACAAAGCAGCCAAGAUCAGGUCCGAGUAUUUGCUUCUUGCGUAGGAUGGAGAAACUAAGCAUGGCACAAAGCAGCAGGAGACCACUUGUUCAUGUGCGUGGCUGUGCCAGUGCCUAUUUGUUAAUUUCGAACGCAAAUAUUCCUAUACUGUAAACGAUAGCUUAAACCUGCCAAACCUAUUUUAGCUAGGUUGCACGCAUGACCCAUAUCAGAUACAUGGAAUUGUGUAAGGAUAUGUUAGCAAGCUAAGUUGGGUACCAAUUUUUGUCGGUCACAACUCACAACUCACAAGUUAAAUGAGAUAGGGAAAAUGUUUGGCAUAAAUGGACACUCUUAGGCUGUGAUCUGAACGAAUCUUGGUGCUGAUUUUUUAUGGUUAUGCAGGGAGGAGCAUUGAGUUCUCUAUUAGUCUGUGGUUUUCUGAAUUCUGAUGUAAGAUUGAGUCCCCAGCUCUUCCCUUUGUUUUGUGCUGAACUGAUUGUUCUAAGUAUAUGACAGGGGAAGAGCACAGAAUGAAAACAAAGUAGAUAGUUUAAGUAAUGCAUUGGUUGUUUAUAACUCAUGCUGCCCCGUAUGGGAUUCCGGAUUCUCGUGUCAAAGUCUGAUCUGAUGAUUUGGAAUUUGCUUCCGAUUGUUCAUAUUGAAAUUCAGUGACAUACUGUGUGUACCUUGUAACACAUUUAGGAUGAGGGGAGUGAUACUUGGCUAUGUAUUCUGUUUGUUGAUCUGGGUUGCUAGGUGACGCUGUAUUCAUUUGCUUUUUGAAAACCAAGAAAAUCUCACUUUGUGCUGUUAAAUUUCGUUUGUUGGCUGUUGUUGCUGGCUUGUACUUAUUACUCAUGCAAAUUUCCUUAUCGACUGGCACUUAAAUGUUUGAGGUACAUCUCGUGCUAUAAUAUAGGCCGUUAAAUGUCUCAAAAUAUCAGUUUGAAAGUCAGACUCCGUCCUGUCUUAAACGAUCUGUGACUGAGUAUCAACUAAUAUUUGAUUCCUACUCCAUUAACCUAUUUUUGGAUUCUGUAACCAUGUGUAACAACUAGCAAGUUCAAUUGUAUGUUGCAGGAUGGCUGAACAGUUCUACACUGUGGCAUCUGAUAGUGAAACCACUGGCGAAGAGAAAGCACAGCAAACAUUCCCUGAUGUUGCUAUUGGCAUUGAUAUUGGUACUUCAAAAUGCAGCGUUGCUGUUUGGAAUGGUCAUCAAGUGGAGCUGCUGAAAAACACUCGUAGCCAGAAAGGGAUGAGGUCAUAUGUCAUGUUCAAAGAUGACACCCUUUCAGCUGGUGUUACUGGAGGAGCAACCAAGGAGCACGCACAUGAGGAAAGAGAUGUUUUGUCAGGAAGUGCAAUAUUUAACAUGAAACGUUUGAUUGGCAGAAUGGACACGGAUGAAGUUGUUCAAGCUAGCAAGACCCUCCCUUUUCUUGUGCAGACAUUGGGUAUCGGUGUGAGACCAUUCAUUGCAGCACUGGUGAACAAUAUGUGGCGGUCCACAACUCCUGAGGAGGUUCUUGCCAUAUUUCUACUUGAAUUAAAGGCCUUGGUUGAGAUGCAUUAUAAGCAUCCAGUAAGGAAUACUAUUCUAACCAUCCCAGUUGCAUUCAGUCGGUUCCAACAGACAAGGAUUGAGAGAGCAUGUGCAAUGGCUGGACUGCAUGUGUUGAGGCUCAUGCCAGAGCCUACUGCCGUUGCACUUCUGUAUGCUCAGCAGCAACAGCAGCUUCUGCAUGACAAUAUGGGAAGUGGCAUUGAGAAAAUUGCUCUGAUAUUUAACAUGGGUGCUGGUUAUUGUGAUGUCGCGGUGUCUGCCACUGCUGGAGGUGUUUCUCAAAUAAGAGCACUCUCAGGUUGCACUGUCGGUGGAGAGGACAUACUUCAGAAUGUUAUGCGGCACCUCCAUCCCAAUUUUGAUAGUUUAUUUGCUGGUCACACAAUGGAUAGAAUCAAGUCAAUGGGUUUGCUGCGGAUCGCCACUCAGGAUGCGGUUCACAAACUGACCACCCAGGAAAGUAUCGAGAUCAACGUAGAUUUGGGAGGCGGCCAGAAAGUGUCAAAGGUUUUGGGUCGUGCAGAAUUUGAACAAGUGAACAAGAUGAUCUUUGAGGAAUGUGAGAGGGUCAUCAAGCAAUGCUUGCACGAUGCAAAGUUAGCCCCAGAAGACAUCAAUGAUGUGAUCUUGGUUGGAGGAUGUUCCAGGAUUCCUAAAAUCAGAAGCCUCGUCCUGGGAUUAUGCAAGAAAGCAGAUUCUUAUGCGAGUAUAGAUGUUCUAGAAGCUGCCGUGUCAGGUGCUGCACUGGAAGGAGCCAUUGCUUCAGGAGUCACUGAUCCUUCGGGGAGCUUGGAUCUGCUAACUAUCCAGGCAACACCGAUGAACCUUGGAAUCCGUGCUGACGGUGAUACCUUUGCUGCAAUAAUUCCAAGGAACACUGCAGUUCCUGCAAGAAGGGACAUGCUAUUCACAACAACACAUGAUAAUCAGACAGAGGCGCUUGUUGCCGUCUACGAAGGUGAAGGCAAGCAGGCGGAAGAGAACCAUCUGCUCGGGUAUUUCAAGAUCACCGGCAUUCCAGCAGCACCGAAGGGCGCCGUUGAAAUCAAUGUAUGCAUGGACAUCGAUGCUGCCAAUGUCCUCAGGGUGUUUGCAGGCGUUGUCAAGCCUCAAGGCCCGGCCACUCCGCCGUUUAUUGAGGUGAGGAUGCCCACACUAGACGAUGGCCAUGGCUGGUGCGGGCAGGCCCUCGCUAAGAUGUAUGGCGGUAAUCUCGACCUAGCUGUUCUCCCUAAGAAGCUGCAGCCGUGAGGAGACUUGCUUAUCUUCGCCCAGUAUAGCGGUGUUUCCCGUAUGUUAGUUCGUGCACCGUGGCUUAGUGAUGUGGACUCUACUCUUUAUGUACAGAAAGAAUAAAUUCCAGUGUCGUAUUUGUACGAUAUUGUGUUCUCUGUAGUGUGAAACGAUGUUACCUGUGCUGUGAACGUGAACUCCUGUACUUGUAUGACAGUAAGCAAGAGGUGUUUACUGUUUAGUCUCUGUUGUGCUGCAUUAAAAUACCCGGGGUUUGUAGAAUUCUUCAUUUUUCGUACUGUGAAUCUGACCAGCGUUGGGGAAAUCAGUCAAGAACUGUUGUUCUCCAAUAUACGGCCUUUCCCUAUCUCCUUCAGUUCAUGCUUGUCUACAUUCCAGGAAGAAUAAAUUCUUCCACAUUAACGGCUAGUGGCAGGAUUGUUGGGUCUCAUUGUCACAACAUCCAGAGGGAACAAAUAGGCGGUAUCAUGCGUCUGGCGUCCAGGUACAACGUGACGUGUAACGGCUGCAACAAUCAGAUGGCCAAUGGGCAGCCCAGAACGGGCUAAAACGUGCGUGUAAAGAUCAUGGGCUCACACAUCAGUGCUGGGUGCAAACGGUGCACGCACUGGGCAUUGCUGACUGGACAAUCCAGCGGGACGACGACUUCCCAAUUUCCCCUGGUCAGUAACACGAGGUGCGUGAAUCGCCUGCUUCUAGUUGUAGUAUCUUUUUGCAAAAUAAUAAUAGCAGAUCGGUAGAGGGAAGAUCAUUUUCCGUAGAGGCUUUUUGGUAACUAGACGUGCACCAACCCAAUCAGUAGACUAGUAGAGGUUACGGCCUACCACGCAAAAAUUAUUCUACGUACUACCAUUUUGACUCCAGCUUCGUGCGAUUCAGAGAACAAUUGCAGUGCUGUAACACUCGAUCGACGACGGUGACUCUGAACUCAGCAGAUCGAUAUUUCCAUACGUGUUCAGCAGUGCUGUCUGUCAAGAAUUAUGUCUUCUUUUUUGACUGCACGAAUUAUGUCUUCUUAACAAGGUCGCCGGUGAAACGGACUUUGUCGAGAAAAUUAUAGCGCGUUUACUUAUCAGUUACCGCAGAGUCAAGGCCCAGCCUGGACCGGAUAUGCCUUGGCGCUGCUCGGGCAGCAGUAGUUUCCGACUUUGCCUGAGCGCGACUGGUCCGUUUGUUCAUACGCACCGGAAGUCCGGAACACAAGUCAAAUCAAAGAGAUCAUCAGGGACUUCCCCACUGGAAAACGGUGCUACGCAUACGUGAUACACCGAUGCGUGGCGUUGAUUACGUGCUCGCCGGUGUAUUUUACUGCACGGUCAAAGGAUUUCGCAAGUGAAAAAGAAUCUUUACAAGACCAACGCAUGCCUCCAGGUCCUACCUGUUCUUGAGGGCGUGGCCAGCUCGUGCUGCGCCCAAGUGUCUGCCUCGUUCGUCAGCGACUGGAAAUUUUAAGACAAAUAUAUAUCCCGCCUGCCCUGGUGGAAUACGGAAUACGUACUCCAGUUCGUGUCAAACAUCGCAAUCCGCCACCGAUCCAGCUGAUCCAACAAGGCAAAAUUGCGGCGUCGCACGGCACAUAUCGUUAAUUAUUUUUUUCCUGAACGCAUCGAGGAGACUUUGGCGUGUAAAGCGUGCCUGACCGUUUUGAUUUCUCGCGACGUACCUGAAGUGAUAAGACUAGUUGACUUUUAUCAUCACGGUAUGAACUGAGCGUCAAGGGCAACGUGCAACAACCCACAUUUUAGUUGUUGGAUUAUAUAAACGUUCGAAGCGAAUUUCGAUUCCGUGUAGAGGGCUAUUGAUAGAGCCAGGUUAUUCUCUUAAUUUGGAGUCGCGGCCAUGUUCCUUUUUCUCGUCAGCGUAACGUGGAUGGAUAACGAAUUAAAGUACGCCAUCGAGAACUGAUUUCAGCAUGUUUUCCCCGGAGAUUGCAAAAACUAAUAAAAAGUUCAAGAAUCAAAUGCUGUAUCUCGUCACAUCUCCGUGGACGCCAUAUAAUUUAUUUCGCAAAUUCAUAAUGGACAUCAUCAUAGCAAUAUGUAGUGUGCUGUACCUGUACGAUCGCAUCUAGAUGAAAUCCCCAGUUGAAGAUAAACUAGCACCACUUGCCAAGAUCACUUUCCCCUUUGUGACCAUGAAAAGUAAACGCACGCACCAAUCUAAACGCCGCCGUCUGUGUGCUAGUACUGUACUAGAAGGAACAGCCGACAAGGUGUCAAUUUUUUCUUACGUACGCUUGUAGUUGUAGUGUCCACGUUGUCACAUAUUCUCUCAAGAAAAUUUGCCGCACGUGACGUAUAAUUUUCCUUGAAUUAAUGUUCAAAGUCACGGUUUUCUAAUGAUCUAUUCACAUGAACCAAGCAAACACAGCUGCGCUCAUUGUUGACACUACUCGGAUAUUCAGAGCUUACACUCGAGACUGACAUGUGGAUCCGUGCAUAACAUCGAGGACUCUCGUUGUCAGGAAGGUCGGCGUUGGAUAAUACUCGGAGCUUUCCUAGAAACUACUUGCUCUCUAUAGUUUCCAAAAAGGAACCCAAAAGGCUCGGAAUGUUUUGGAUAAGCUAUAAUUUGUGGCAGCGAAGGAAAAGAAAAGUCUCUGGCCCGUGGGCCGUGGAGCCGUCCGUUGACUGGCCAGCCAACGAGCAAGCGAGCUAGAGGGCCGUCCCGCGGGGCCCACCGGACGAGUCCUCAAGGCGACGUGGACGCAUCUGGCCGCUCGGACGCGUUUGAAAUUUCUCCAAGGAGGGGGCUUCCCUCUCUAUAUAAACAGACCGACUUGGAGCCUUGUGUCUCAUCCCCCCAUUUCCUUUGCUUGUGUGGAGAAACAGAAGCACUCGGCCGGGCCUCCAUUGCUGCCCUGCUUGUUCAGAGAGACGAGAGCAUCGAUCCUCCUGAGGGAGAGCAUCGAGGGGCGAAGAUGGCGGGCGGAGGGUUCUCGGUGUCGUCGUCGGCCGGCACGGAGUUCGAGGCCAAGAUCACGCCGAUCGUCAUCAUCUCCUGCAUCAUGGCGGCCACCGGCGGGCUCAUGUUCGGCUACGACGUCGGCAUCUCAGGUAUAUAUAUAUAUAACUGCAUACAUGCAUAUAUAGUUGCUUGUUUUCUGAUUAAGAUCGUCGUCUCCAUGUGCACACAUGGGCGGAAUAAUCAAGUGAAAUCUCCUCUCACAUGUCCUGUGACGACGAUCCAUACGUCGUAUUAUUUCUCGUAUGUGUACGUUCAUGUUCAUGCGUCGUAGUCCUUUUGGAGCCAGCUUGGUGGGAGGAUGUUAACCGAGUGGAUAUGUGAUGCUGAAAGAAGCAUUCAUUUAGGUUUUGACUGCAAGUUCGUCUUCCGAUGACGGAGCAGAUAACCCCGAAAUUAAUGCAAUUAAUCCCCGUCAUUAACUACCACUCACCAGCCAGCUUAUCAUUACCAUUUUUUGUUAAUCCACUGUGAAUACUAUCCUCGUUUGGAAAAAAAGUGUGAAUACUAUCAAGUUUUUUCUUGGUGUUCAUGCUCGAUUUCUUUGUGGAGAUUGCAAACCGAGCCUGCCUCUCGGUUAUUCAUAUAUGCAGCUGGACUCUGAUCCUGUGAGCUAGCAUCCCCAGCAUUAUUUUACUGUUAAAUAAUAUCUGGAAAUUAUUUUAGUCUUGAGCUUGCCACCUACAGUACCUCGACAGGCUGUUAAGUCAACCCAUUUGUACAACUGCCGGAUCACGACACGUUGCCUUUUGAUUUAAGCCAAUUAAUUAAUGAAUUGAUUCUCACUAAAUUAAGAAAAUCUUAUCCGUUUCAUUCAAAUCGUCCAAAUUUUCUUGGGUUGUUCAGAGCGUCCAGCUCAAUUACAGGCGGCGUAUGUAAUUGAGGCAAACUGUAUCGAAUCAAUAUUACUACCUAUGAAAAAUCUUUCUAAAAAAAUGUAAUCUUUUUCUCAGGUGGCGUGACAUCCAUGGACGAUUUCCUGCGUGAGUUCUUCCCGGCGGUGCUUCGCAGGAAGCAGCAGGACAAGGAGAGCAACUACUGCAAGUACGACGACCAAGGUCUGCAGCUCUUCACUUCGUCGCUGUAUCUCGCCGGCCUCACGGCCACCUUCUUCGCCUCCUACACCACCCGCCGCCUCGGCCGCCGCCUCACCAUGCUCAUCGCCGGCGUCUUCUUCAUCGUCGGCGUCAUCUUCAAUGGCGCUGCACAGAACCUGGCCAUGCUCAUCGUCGGCAGGAUCCUGCUCGGCUGUGGCGUCGGUUUUGCCAACCAGGUAUGUUAGCAGAAUUUUCCCUUCGAAACAAUACACUUUUGCAUCAUGUGUUAAGGCAAAACUACGUUUUCGGCAACAGCGUCUGAUUGAUAAGUGCCAGUUAAGUCAAAAGGUCUUCGUAGAAAUUGAAGUCAAGCAUGUCAAGCUAGCGGUGGCUGGUUUUUGAGAAUAUGUUGAACGCACGCACGAGACAUAAUUUUCCGCGUCUCUGAAAAAGACGCACCGCUUGCGCAGUUUCUUCCAUGUUUGGUGGCAAUCAGUCACCGUCCAUGCAUGGUAAGAGUACUAAAGAAUCUUGGCCCAAAACCUAUUAUCUUACGAUUUUGUUCGUCCAGAUUGACACUCUAAAAAAUGUAUUUUAUACCUAGUAUAUAUGAUGGCAUCUUUACUACGUACGGCAGGUGCGUCGUAUACAUCAUACGGAGACACCUUGUGUUUGCCGGAAUUUAAGGGUCAAACGCGUAGAAUUAAACUACUCCAUUGGAGUAUGCAUGGUAGUAUAGUAAUUCCAUGUAUCGACACAUGGGGCAGAUGACGGUGCCGAUCGACGCUCGUGCUUUCGUGCAUGACUUGUGUUCGUGUGCACUUCCAUUGGCGGCAUCAUAUAGCGCGCGAUAACCUUUUAAAGUGCCAUGGUUCCGAUGCUCCCGUCCCGUGGCUCCAAGCUUAGAAUUUACUGGACCAAAUGCUUGGAGAAGUUUGAACCAACCAACAGGUGAUAGGUGCACGUACGUAAUAAUAUCCCGUUGGUUUUACUCAGUCUCCGGCUAGUUUGCUGCUGGUGUGGCUGCCUGUUCUUCAGUUGUCACGCGGCUGCUAUCAACAUGGACUAGUAUAUACCACAGCGGCUUUGGAUCGUUCCGUUUUUGUCGAAACCGGCUGUCGUAAUAUCUAGUUGAUGGAGUAGUACAGCACUAUCGAAAUCAACACUUCCGUGUCCGAACUUGAACUUGGUACUGAACUUGGUACGACAGAACGAUGGAUGCUUCUAGCCAGCCCAGCUGAUGCGAUGGAUAGUACUGAUUGUCGUAUGAAAAUCGUACGCAUGAUGUCGUACGUGUAGCAGUGUCGCAGCAAAAUUGACUUGGAGGCGUAGGCCGAAAUUACUACGACCACUUGGCUGCUAGCUACAGAACGUGCUUGACCACUUGGCUGCUAGCUACAUCCACGGUGCCGAUCGACGCUCGUGCUUUCGUGCAUGACUUGUGUUCGUGUGCACUUCCGUUGGCGGCAUCAUAUAGCGCGCGAUAACCUUUUAAAGUUUCAUGGUUCCGAUGCUCCCGUCCCGUGGGUCCAAGGUCCAAGCUUAGAAUUUACUGGACCAAAUGCUUGGAGAAGUUUGAGCCAACCAACAGUUGAUUGGUGCACGUAAUAUCCCGUUGGUUUUACUAGUCUCCGGCUAGUUUGCUGGGGUAGCUGCCUGCUCUUCAGCUGUCACAUGGUUGCUAUCAACAUGGACUAGAAUAUACUGUAGUGGCUUUGGAUCGUUCCUUUUUCGUCGAACCCGGAUGUCGUAAUAUCUAGUUGAUGGAGUAGUACAGCACUAUUGACUUGGAGGUGUAGGCCGAAAUUACUACGACCACUUGGCUGCUAGCUACAGAACGUGCUUGACUUGGAAAUACUUCAAUCGGAUUCUUCUGGUUCCGUUCCUGUCGAACGUGGAAACUGAAAUCAGGCAGCUUUCACUGACAGAACGGCGCAUUCUAUUGUUGGGAGUUUUUCUUCCACAUAGAAAGAAUCAAUUGUUUGGACAUUUACUAGUUUUUGUAUUGGGAACACACUGACAUAUGGGACGAUAGACUCAAUAUUCACUUAUACAAAGCGUAGACAAGACUAGGAGUUCAUACCACUAAUUUAUAUACUAGUACUACAAUUGGGCAAUUUUUUUGAUCAUGCUACAUUAUAGAGAUUACGAUAGCGACUCACUUGUCUUGUUUGAUGGCUGAUAUGGUUAUUGGUUAGGUUCAACCGCUAAGCUAGCAUGAAAGCACGUUCAGGGGAGCGAUGUCUAGGGAUUUUUUUUUUUUUGGACUUCAAGAGAAUAUUUGGAAAUGGCAGAAUCUAAAGGCAUGGGCCCGUCUGAAACGAUUGAUUAGUUACAACUUACAACUCACAAGUGUAGUGUGCAAUUUCAUUCCCAGUUAGUUAGAGCUAUCGUCAUGGCAAAAUGGAAAGGAGUUAAUUCUUUUUGAACUUUGGAAAGAAAAUAUAUGCUUUUUUUUGGCAAGAAAUGCAACUCGUACGAGUUGUUAUCGAUCCAGAGUUUUGCAUUGGAAAAAAGAGAGGGAAAGAAGACGUAUGAGCCCAAUGGGCCUCAUUAAGAGAACAUUUAUCAUUUCGUGAUUUUCACAUGAUCUGCAUCGCUAACUGAGGAACACUACUUGCAGGC
RNAcentral lists this long non-coding RNA (9841 nucleotides) under Brachypodium distachyon (stiff brome). RNAcentral describes it as "long non-coding RNA (BDIS_LNC001428)". The record is from RNAcentral. Lineage: Eukaryota; Viridiplantae; Streptophyta; Magnoliopsida; Poales; Poaceae.